Diospyros lotus (date-plum) is the source of this 2302-nucleotide RNA transcript. It is a transcript of the gene named probable choline kinase 2, with no coding region annotated. The record is from RefSeq and is a predicted model, not a curated record. The transcript is spliced from 10 exons. NCBI's taxonomy places the organism in Eukaryota, Viridiplantae, Streptophyta, Magnoliopsida, Ericales, Ebenaceae.
GUCGCUUGCUACCACGUCAUGCCCGUGUGGUGCACCGGACGGAGGAGGUUAUUCUACUGCGUGUGCGUUGAGAGCUGCCGCGAUUUCAUCGGGACCUCCCACUGGAAUUUAACCAAGCGAGACGGCGUACGCUCCACUCAAAAUUCAACAACCAUCGAUCGGAUCUUUUCGGAUUCGUAGCCAGAAACCGGUUCUUCAGCAGCUUAGUUUGAUUUUGGUUUGAUAAGCUGGUGAAUGGGAUCUGUAGAAGAAGAAAAUUCCGCGACGAUGGCGAUGAAUAUUAAGAGAGAAAGUACCGGCGGCGGCGGCGGUCGAAGCGUAGCGCUGGAGGAGGCGAAGAGAAUUGUGAGAUCGCUGGCUUCGAGCUGGGGCGACACUGUCGAUAUGGACGAGAUGAAGGUGAUCCCGCUGAAAGGUGCCAUGACAAACGAGGUGUACCAAAUCAAGUGGUCCAGAAACGACAAAGAAGAAGAUGGAGAUGUUCGGUCCCGGAAGGUUUUGCUGAGGAUUUAUGGCGAGGGCGUCGAAGUGUUCUUCGAUCGGAAUGAUGAGAUCCGGACCUUUGAGUUCGUGUCCAAGCAUGGUCAAGGCCCUCGUCUUCUCGCUAGGUUCCCUAUUGGCCGAAUCGAGGAGUUCAUUCAUGCUCGGACACUGUCAGCAUCUGACCUACGAGACCCUGAAAUAUCUGCUCUAAUAGCAGCUAAAAUGAAGGAGUUUCAUGAUCUUGACAUGCCUGGUUUGAAGAAGGUUUUCCUUUGGGAGAGAAUGCGAAAUUGGCUUAAUGCCGCCAAAAGUUUGUCUCCCCCGGAAGAAGCUGAUGCCUUUCGCUUACAUUGCCUGGAGGAGGAGAUAUCGUUAUUGGAGAGGCGUCUUUCACGUGACAAUCAGAGCAUAGGAUUUUGCCACAAUGAUUUACAAUACGGAAACAUAAUGAUUGACGAGGAGAUGAAUUCAAUAACAAUAAUUGACUAUGAGUAUGCUAGUUACAACCCUGUUGCCUAUGACAUAGCAAAUCACUUCUGUGAGAUGGCUGCCGAUUAUCAUACAGAAACACCCCAUAUUUUGGACUAUUGCAAGUAUCCAGGUUUGGAAGAGCGUCAAAGGUUUCUUCGUCUUUAUCUGAGUCGUGCAGCUGUUGAGCAAAGUGAUGAGGAAAUUGAGCAGCGAAUUCAAGACAUUGAGAAGUAUACUCUUGCAAGCCAUCUGCUUUGGGGCUUAUGGGGAAUAAUAUCGGUGUUGGAUCUGGUGCAGGUGGAUGGUGACUAUCUUCAGUGCUGUGCUGGUGAUCGGGGUGAUUAUAUGUUCUUGAGAAGGCAGUGGUCAAUCAGGUGCUUAAGUAUGUGCCUGGGAUGAGCAUCUAUCUGGGAAUACUUGUUACAGGUUUGAAGAAGAUUUGUUUCAAGUCUUUUAGGAUGUUGAGGCAAAUUGGAGGCUGAUUAUUCGAGAAAGGACAGGUCAAAGCACUAGGUGCAGAAAAACAACUGUGCACGAGUCUAGAGGAAUUACAAACAGUGUGCUGGUGUUGUGUUGCAUUUGUGGAGUCCAUUUAUUACGGCAUGUGAUAACUGCAUCCAUUUCUGUGCAAUAUGGGUGUGCAAGAAACCAAAUGUUCUUUGGUUAAACACCAGAAGCCAUCCCAAGUCAUGAACUAAGGGAGGUUAUCUUGAUUAUUUGAAAAUUAUGUUGUCAUGCUGAUGCAUGAGGACUGCACUAUUAAGGAAUGCCAUGUUACUAAUUACUAUGCUUGGUACUUUUAUUUCAGGAACAUGUCAACGAAAUUGAUUUUGAUUACAUAGAGUAUGCAAGACAGAGGUUUGAACAGUAUUGGUUAAGGAAGCCUGAGCUAUUAGGUUCCUGCUGAGCUACUGCUGAUGGUGUUGCUGAAGGCAGGUAACAAGGGUCAGUAGUGUUGAAGCCAUGAGAUCUGUUCCAAGGAAAAUCCUGUGAAAUUUGCGGACCCUAGAACGGGAAAAAGGAGGUAAAAGCAAAAAGGUGUACAAGAAGGAUUAGAAGGCGGACAUGUAGACAGUGUGUUUUGGGUUCUUGUUUUUAAAUUUGUUUGGCAUCAAAUCCUGCCAUGGGCGUUGGGUUCGGGCUGCUAUGAUGCUUUUGAGUGCAAUAAUUUGUUCUCGCGUUUGGUGAAUACUUCUGAAUAUUUGGAUGUACAUAAUAACUGUUUUUUAUUUUGAAACGGUAGAAUUGAUAAUCCUUGAAGCUGUAAAGUCUCUAAUUUUAUUUUGGUACAUUGUUAUCCUAACACUUUCUAUGUACAAAUGAAUAAUUUAUAUAGAAAUUUCAAUUA